RNAcentral lists this ribosomal RNA (468 nucleotides) under uncultured bacterium. Its description in RNAcentral is "partial 16S ribosomal RNA". It matches the Rfam family "Bacterial small subunit ribosomal RNA", at positions 28 to 507 of the family's 1533-position model. The record is from RNAcentral.
GACGAACGCUGGCGGCGUGCUUAACACAUGCAAGUCGAACGGAAAGGCCCUGCUUUUGUGGGGUGCUCGAGUGGCGAACGGGUGAGUAACACGUGAGUAACCUGCCCUUGACUUUGGGAUAACUUCAGGAAACUGGGGCUAAUACCGGAUAGGAGCUCCUGCUGCAUGGUGGGGGUUGGAAAGUUUCGGCGGUUGGGGAUGGACUCGCGGCUUAUCAGCUUGCUGGUGGGGUAGUGGCUUACCAAGGCUUUGACGGGUAGCCGGCCUGAGAGGGUGACCGGCCACAUUGGGACUGAGAUACGGCCCAGACUCCUACGGGAGGCAGCAGUGGGGAAUAUUGCACAAUGGGCGGAAGCCUGAUGCAGCAACGCCGCGUGCGGGAUGACGGCCUUCGGGUUGUAAACCGCUUCCGCCUGUGACGAAGCGUGAGUGACGGUAAUGGGUAAAGAAGCACCGGCUAACUACGUG